RNAcentral lists this ribosomal RNA (704 nucleotides) under uncultured archaeon. RNAcentral's name for it is "bacterial SSU rRNA". It matches the Rfam family "Archaeal small subunit ribosomal RNA", at positions 4 to 713 of the family's 1478-position model. The record is from RNAcentral.
CCGGUUGAUCCUGCCGGAGGUCACUGCUAUUGGGAUUCGACUAAGCCAUGCGAGUCGAGAGGGUUCGGCCCUCGGCUGACGGCUCAGUAACACGUGGAUAAUCUGCCCUUAGGUGGAGGAUACCCUCGGGAAACUGAGAAUAAUACUCCAUAGGUCUAGGAUGCUGGAAUGCAUCUAGACUGAAAACUCCGGUGCCUAAGGAUGAGUCUGCGGACUAUCAGGUUGUAGUCAGGGUAAAGACCUGACUAGCCUACGACGGAUACGGGUUGUGAGAGCAAUAACCCGGAGAUGAUAUCUGAGACACGAUAUCAGGCCCUACGGGGCGCAGCAGGCGCGAAAACUUCACACUGUGCGAAAGCACGAUGAGGGAAUCCCAAGUGCCAGCUCGUAAGAGUUGGCUGUUUUUCUGUCUAAAACACAGAGAGAGUAAGAGCUGGGUAAGACGGGUGCCAGCCGCCGCGGUAAUACCUGCAGCUCAAGUGGUGACCGUUAUUAUUGGGCCUAAAACGUCCGUAGCCGGUUUAGUAAAUGCCUGGGUAAAUCGUGUAGCUUAACUAUACGAAUUCUGGGUAGACUGCUAAACUUGGGACCGGGAGAGGCUAGAGGUACUCCUGGGGUAGAGGUGAAAUUCUGUAAUCCUGGGGGGACCACCAGUGGCGAAGGCGUCUAGCUAGAACGGGUCUGACGGUGAGGGACGAAGCCCU